This 242-nucleotide ribosomal RNA is filed under the name uncultured eukaryote. RNAcentral's name for it is "partial 18S ribosomal RNA". It matches the Rfam family "Eukaryotic small subunit ribosomal RNA", at positions 629 to 868 of the family's 1831-position model. The record is from RNAcentral.
CGUAGUUGGAUUUCUGGUCUGAUGCCCUGGCCCGCACCUAUUUCGGUGUGAGUGCCGGCUGCGCGUCUGCCAUCCUUCUAGAAAACGUUCCUACCCUUCGCUGGGCCGGGUUCGGGAUCUAGAUCUUUUACUUUGAAAAAAUUAGAGUGUUUAAAGCAGGCUUUUGCUGUGAAUACAUUAGCAUGGAAUAAUAAUCUAGGACUUCGGUUCUAUUUUGUUGGUUUCUAGUACUGAAGUAAUGA